GCUGGGCAUGGUGGCACGUGCCUGUAGUCCCAGCUACUCGGGAGGCUGAGGCUGGAGGAUCGCUUGAGUCCAGGAGUCCUGGGAGGUAGUGUGCUAUGCCGAUUAGGUGUCCACACUAAGUUUGGCAUCAAUAUGGUGACCUCCCGGGAGCAGAGGACCACCAGGUUGCCUAAGGAGGGGUAAAUCGGCCCAGGUCAGAAAUUGAGCAGUUCAAAACUCCCAUGGUGAUCAGUAAUGGAAUCAUACCUGUGAAUGGUCACUGCACUCCAGACCCCAUCUCUACCCCCA
RNAcentral lists this signal recognition particle RNA (288 nucleotides) under Saimiri boliviensis boliviensis (Bolivian squirrel monkey). Its description in RNAcentral is "Metazoan signal recognition particle RNA (ENSSBOG00000012109.1)". It matches the Rfam family "Metazoan signal recognition particle RNA". From Rfam's summary of the family: The signal recognition particle (SRP) is a universally conserved ribonucleoprotein. It is involved in the co-translational targeting of proteins to membranes. The eukaryotic SRP consists of a 300-nucleotide 7S RNA and six proteins: SRPs 72, 68, 54, 19, 14, and 9. Lineage: Eukaryota; Metazoa; Chordata; Mammalia; Primates; Cebidae. The record is from RNAcentral.